ACUGUACAUGUACUUAUUGCAAUGGCUAACAAAUAUUUAUCUACUGUGUUGCCGGCAUUCUCGAUCAUUUAGCUAUUGUGGUGGCUCUUGACAUUCUGGAGGAAUUUUAUCGGCUUCCAAUGAGGCCCAGGUUUCAUCACACCUUCAAAUAUUGGUACCAGUCUGAGACCGGUACAGACGUAGUCCGUUCAUAAUGCUACAGCUGAAGGCUGUGCUUGUUUAUGUUGGGGGGAUUGGAUUGGGUGAUUCGUACCCUCUAUACCACCACGGCGCUGGUGGUGAUCGAGCUCUUUUGCCCUAUUUAACACGCUCUCUUAUUUGUCAUUAGUUGUCAGCACUGUAGGUUAUGGAAGAGUUAGUGCACCGUGUGCGUUGUUUUGUGUCAAGUUCAGCGCAUGAAAUCUCAAUGGAGUCACCUUGAGGGCUUGAUGG
Molecule: small RNA, 432 nt
Filed under: Histoplasma ohiense
Lineage: Eukaryota; Fungi; Ascomycota; Eurotiomycetes; Onygenales; Ajellomycetaceae
Description: hypothetical lncRNA
Source: RNAcentral